RNAcentral lists this ribosomal RNA (130 nucleotides) under Rossellomorea aquimaris. Its description in RNAcentral is "Bacillus aquimaris partial 23S ribosomal RNA". It matches the Rfam family "Bacterial large subunit ribosomal RNA", at positions 1 to 127 of the family's 2925-position model. The record is from RNAcentral. Lineage: Bacteria; Bacillati; Bacillota; Bacilli; Caryophanales; Bacillaceae.
UUAGGUUAAGUUAUGAAGGGCGCACGGUGGAUGCCUUGGCACUAGGAGCCGAUGAAGGACGGGACUAACACCGAUAUGCUUCGGGGAGCUGUAAGUGAGCUUUGAUCCGGAGAUUUCCGAAUGGGGGAAC